CUCUGCUUUGCCCUCCUCAGACUGGCUACUGUGCUUUACUCUAAGGCUUUGAGGUUCCCCCCCUGUCCCAGCUGAUCUCCCUACCAGCCGGGGGCUUCUAGGGUGCAGAUUCCUUUCCUCUUUAACAGCUCCUUCCCAGGAGUGCUGGUCCUGUCCUGUUUCCUCUCUUUUUUUCCUUUUGUCCUACCCAAUUAUGUGGAGAUUGUCUUGCCUUUUUGGAAGUCUGAGGUCUUCUGCCAGCCUUCAGUAGAUGUUCUGUGAGAAUCAUUCUAUAGGUAGAUGUGGGGGUUUGGGGUAUAUUUGUGGGAGAGGGUGAGCUCCACAUCCUGCUCCUUCAACCAUCUUGAUUCCACUCCCUCAAUAUAAUUCUUAGUAGUUCCAUAUAGUGUAUUGUGAGGAUGUUCCAUUCAUUGUUAAUUAUCCCUAAUUUCUUGGGUGUUUGGUUUCUUUCUCAGUUUGUCUUCCUUUCACUGACAAGUAAGACCAAUCAUCUUUUUUCUCGUAUGACUAUUUUUUUUUUUUUUUUUUUUUUGCAGAAGAUGGCACUGUUUCCUAGAAAAGUGAGUGAAGUUACCCUUGACCAAUUAAGGAAGGAGAAAAGACCCUUCCAGAUGAUGAAGCAAGUUACCCCUGGAGUGCGCCCUCUGCAGCCUCACCUGGUCUGUCCAGGUAAGAUUCCAGUGAUGUCUCACAAACUAGCAUCACACUGCCUGGGACUCUAUGGAGCAGAAAUGCCUGUCCAUUUUCUGGUCACUCUUGUGAAGAGGAUGGACAUUUUGUGAUAGAUUUUCCCUAUGAGGAGAGUCCAACACCAGCCCUCCAAAAUUUAGGUGUGGAAAACAGAUUUCAGUCCUGUAAGGAGAGAAAAGUCAUAUGCAGAUCAUCUGACUCUUCUCCACAAGGGAAGAAAAGCAGGCAGCAUAGCACUCACUUGAUGCUGUUCUGACUCAGAGGAAAACCAGUGGGAGAAAACACACUCUGGGAAUACCAUCUUUUUUUGGAGGGCAGGGGUUGUCACCUUUAAAUUGUAAUAAUGUACUGUCACAUCUGAUCUAAUAUCAGUUAUAAAUUCCCCUGGAAAGAACCUCCCAUCGCACCCACUUCAUUAAAGCAUUCUGCUAAUUUGCCUUCCCUGAGAAAAUGUUUCCAGGGAAAAAGGUGAGAAUCAUCCCUACAGCCCAGCAGUAGGCUGGACUGGGUGUUACCAGCAACCAUAUAAAUCCUUUAAGGACGUGAUUGUCCUCUUUUCACGAGAGAAUGAAUUAGCAAAAUCAAUCUGCAGGGGUUGCAUCUGUUUUUCUUGGGGCAGGUAAAACUGAGAGCACUGUUAUUGCUUAUCUCUCUGCUUUCUAGCUGUGAUGGGAGGAGGGGGAGAGCAGAGUGUUCUAUAGCUGAUUUGAAAUUUUCUGUCAUUUGUGUGAGUGUACUGAUUUUUCUCAAUCAUGCAUUCGUUUUAACAGUCAUUUGUUGAGUGUCGAUGAUAUGUCUUGUAUUUGCUGAGGUGCUGGAGAUUCAACAAGCCCUAAACACACCCAGUUCCUCCUUCACGGAGCCCACUUUCUCACAGCCCCGCCAGAGGCAGAGAGGAACCCAGGCUGACCCGCUUCUCACAGUUGGGUUGUGGGGACGGAUAUGCAAGGAAAGGAAACAUGUGACAGUGAGAUUGGACACAGCUGGGGAAAGGACAGAAAAGAGCUGGGGUGGGAGAGGGCUGGGAGGGACUCUGGGUGGGAAAGCAUCAGUGGAACUUGGGGUCACAUGGAGGCCACAUGCAGCAUGGUGUGCCAUGUGAUCCCUUCCAGAGCUUUUUAAAAAUAGUCCAAAAGAUAAAAACUAAAUGCUACUUGAGGAUACAUUUCUUGUGAAAAGUGAUGACAGGACUAGCACUUGCACUUUAAUGGCUGUGAGAAGAUGAGUGUGGGCAGCACACCUGGGUACCAGCCCCGCCAUGUGCGUGUGCACAUAGUGAGCUCAGAUGUUCCUCUCCGGGCCUUUAGAGAUAGAUCUUUUUCACUCUUCCUUCCUUCCUUCCUCUCUCCCUACAGUUAGUUUACAUUAUCUCUACAAAGAGAAACAGGAUCUUAAAACUGUUUACAGUUUUGCUUCCUAUCACUUUAAGAUUUCUAUUAUGGUUCUCAUUUUUCCCUCUCAUUGGACUUUUGGGUCUUGUAACUGUUUCUGAUUUCAGAAAUGCGGGUUUUGUUGUUGUUUUGCAUGUCAUUUUGUUCUGUUUCUUUGUUUACUAGCAGGGGUUUUUCCUAAUUUAGAUUCUCUGUGGAAGUUCAAAAUUGCUCUUUGCUCAGCGGUAUUCAGUUUGGGACCCACAACUUAAGGUGAAUUUGGAGAAUUUUUUUUUUAAUCCAGAAAAAGAAAAAAAUGCUUAUGGGGUGAGGAAGUAAGAAUUAUAGUGAAAGAGUGUAGGAGAUGAGAUCAUUUCAGCAACAGACAGCCAAAGAUGUCUUGUUUAUUUAAUCCACUGGCUUCAUACUUGGGUCUCUACUCUCAAGAAAUUCAAAUGAAUUUGGAACAGUUCUCCUUGGAAUUCUGGUUAGAACUAUUCUCACAAACUUUUAAAAACUCUUGUUCCUUCAUCCUCAUCUAUGUAAAACUAGAGUAUAAGUAUCCAACACUGUUAUCUUGGAUACAAAGUAUGCAGUUCACAUGAAUGAAUAAUGACUCAAAUGUCUUUAUAGAGAGAAAAGGCUGAUAACCAGCUGUUUUUAGUUUGUACUCAUAAAUAAAUAAGAGGACACUGUUCCAAAUUGUAGCUUAGAAUCUCUUGGUAUUAUACAAUGUGGAAUUACCGACAAUUAUGUUUGUUCAGUAUUAGAAGGGGCCAUCGUUUUUUCUGGAAGGAAACAAUGUGAGCCAUUCAGCAUAUCCCCCAGAAGCUGCAAAUAAUCUUUUUUGUUUUGUUUUUAAUUGCUUUAAAAUUUUUUUAAAUUGACAUAUAGUUGAUUUACAAUGUUGUAUUUCUGCUGUACAGCAAAGUGACUCAGUUAUGUGUAUAUAUAUAUAUAUAUAUAUUCCUUUUCAUAUUCUUUUCAUUAUGAGUUAUGCAAAUAACCUCAUUGCAGGAAACUGGUCUUUCCCUGAGGGUCUAACUCUGGCAUUUGCCUUGUGGGGGAAAAAUUGUUAGUCUUCUGCCCUUUUUCAACUUUUUAAGGUGUUUUCCUUCAAUAUUUUUAUCAAUGUAAAUUUUUUAACAUUCAUGAGAGGGGCAUAUUUUUUGUGCAUAUAAAGUUCAUUUAGAAUUGUGUACAUCUUAAAUUAAUAUCUGUCUAUAAAAUUAAUAUUUAGAUUUCAAUAAUAAGCUGAGAAUAGUCACCUAUAUGUUUUAUCUGAUUAAAAUUCAGUGAACCGCUGUGACCCAGUGCAAGUGAGAGACCUGAAGUUUAUGCUUCAUUGGCUGAGGCUCACCCAGAUGUGGUACCCCGGUGAAGGACUGGAUAUAAGUCCUGGUUUCCCAGAAACCCCCAGGUUAUGCUUGCCAUUCUUGUUUAAAUUUUAAUAAUUCCCCUUUUCUUUUGGAAAAAAACCAGUCCUGGUUUGCAUGACAAAUUAUAUGGUCUUUCGAUUUAUGUUGGACACUCUGUGGCCACAAAAACUGGGCCUGAAUAGGAAGCGGUCAGCCCUAACUUUAACGUCUUCAUUGCCUUUCUGCUCCAGCCAUCAGGCGGUGCGCAGGGAGGGUAAAAUCCCUGAGCUGAUUAUAAUGGGUUGCAAAGAAGGUUCCUAUUGAUCAUCGUUUCUAUCUUCUUAAAGGGUAUUGUUUUGACUUUAAUUUAUUACAUAAAUGUGACUUAUAAAUAUUCAAUGAACUAAAGUUGAUGACAUUAGACUUCCUUAAAGAGUCCAAUUUACAAUUUAGUUAUUUAAAUUCCCCCAAACAUAUAAAGAUGUACCUUUGACUUUAAGAUUACUUAUUUAAAACCAAUUAUUGAAUUACCUACUUUAAAAUGGAAUUACAAGGCAAAUCUGUCAGAAUCUCAAUAUGCACAAAAUGUAAUUUAGAAUGAAUCAGUGUUGAAUUUUAAACAGAAUUUGCAUAUGUAGCUUGCUUUACUUCAUCAACGGUUUACCUCUAAAUCUUACCAAGGUUGGAAGUACUUAUUAAGGCAAUAGUUUUAUCUUUUUUAAAAAAUUUAAAGAUAUUAUCCCCAUACUGGUGGACUUACUAUCCCAGCAGAAAUAGGUACAUCUAGAAAAUGGGUAGGCAUGUUUUUCAGUUACCUAUGCUGGGUAACAAACACUCCCCAACUUGGGGGUGUGAAACAACUAUUUUAUUAUGCUCCCUGGUUCUGUUACAGGCAUAGCUUAUCUCUGCUACAUGACAUCAUGAUGUCUGGAGACCUCAGCUCUGGGGACUGGAAUGGUGGCAGGUGCAGGAAUCACGUGGUCAGACACUGACUCUUGUGUCUGAGUCUGGUUAGACUCAGGCUGGGUCUCAGGCUGAGUUCAGCUGGGAUGAUUGAUCAGAUACCCACACACAGCCCCUUCCUAUGGCUUGGGCUUCUCUCAACGUGGCAGCUGAGUUCUGGGAGGAAGCAUCCUGAGGGGGAGCAAGCAUUUCAAAGGAUCUAGGUAGGAGCUGCAUGGGUUUUAUGACAUAGCCUCAAACAUCACAUGGCAUUAAUGUGUGGUAUAUACUGUUGCUCAAAGCAGUCAGCCCCCCAUAUUGAAGGGAUUCUCUCAAUAGCAAGAAUGUCAAAGAAUUUGUAGACAUUAAAAAAAAAAAAAAAAAA
This 4745-nucleotide long non-coding RNA is filed under the name Sus scrofa (pig). RNAcentral describes it as "lncRNA (ENSSSCG00065053182.1)". Lineage: Eukaryota; Metazoa; Chordata; Mammalia; Artiodactyla; Suidae. The record is from RNAcentral.